RNAcentral lists this ribosomal RNA (497 nucleotides) under uncultured bacterium. Its description in RNAcentral is "partial 16S ribosomal RNA". It matches the Rfam family "Bacterial small subunit ribosomal RNA", at positions 28 to 507 of the family's 1533-position model. The record is from RNAcentral.
GAUGAACGCUGGCGGCGUGCCUAAUACAUGCAAGUCGAGCGAACGGACGAGAAGCUUGCUUCUCUGAUGUUAGCGGCGGACGGGUGAGUAACACGUGGAUAACCUACCUAUAAGUCUGGGAUAACUUCGGGAAACCGGAGCUAAUACCGGAUGAUAUUUUGCACCGCAUGGUUCAUAAGUGAAAGACGGUCUUGCUGUCACUUAUAGCUGGUUCCGCGCUGCAUUAGCUAGUUGGUAAGGUAACGGCUUAUCAAGGCAACGAUGCAUAGCCGACCUGAGAGGGUGAUAGGCCGCACGGGAACUGAGACACGGUCCAUACUCCUACGGGAGGCAGCAGUAGGGAAUCUUCCGCAGUGGGCGAAAGCCUGACGGAGCAACGCCGCGUGAGUGAUGAAGGUCUUCGGAUCGUAAAACUCUGUUAUUAGUGAAGAACAGAUGUGUAAGUAACUGUGCACAGCUUGACGGUACCUAAUCAGAAAGCCACGGCUAACUACGUG